UACGUAGGGUGCGAGCGUUGUCCGGAAUUACUGGGCGUAAAGGGUGCGUAGGUGGUUUCUUAAGUCAGAGGUGAAAGGCUACGGCUCAACCGUAGUAAGCCUUUGAAACUGGGAAACUUGAGUGCAGGAGAGGAGAGUGGAAUUCCUAGUGUAGCGGUGAAAUGCGUAGAUAUUAGGAGGGACACCAGUUGCGAAGGAGGCUCUCUGGACUGUAACUGACACUGAGGCACGAAAGCGUGGGGAGCAAACAGGAUUAGAUACCCUGGUAGUCCCUGA
Molecule: ribosomal RNA, 276 nt
Filed under: uncultured prokaryote
Description: partial 16S ribosomal RNA
Rfam family: Bacterial small subunit ribosomal RNA
Source: RNAcentral